UAUUUAUCUAGUUAGUUUUCAACAAUCACCUCUUCAUUUUAACCUUGAUAAUUGAAGGUAUAAAUUUACCACCACUGUUGUCAUCUUGUCAAAACAACAAUCAUUUGGCGCCAACUUCGACUGGGCACCAUGGCUACUCAAGAGACUCAAGACAAGAAGAGGAACAGGAAGACGAGCUGGACGCCUUCAUCUGGCCCACCUAUACAAAAUUCUAGCAAAAAUACUCCGGAGCGACUUCUCCACAGCUGGCUGCUCUAAGGAAGCCAGAAAUGCUGCUUGGAGGACCAAUAGUGCGGAGGUGUCUGCCGUGUCAGACAUUCUCCACACUGAGGAGUGCCAGAAACAUUGGCAUAUUAUAAAAUCUGAGGCAAGACGGAACACCCGCAAGCAGAGAGAAGCCAUGACUGCCACAGGUGGUGGACCUCCUGCCAACCCUCCUCUCUCCCAGCUCGAUGAGUUAAUCUUUGAGAUUUUGGACCCCAAGAAUGUCUCUAUUCAUGGGUGUACCAAUAAGGCAAGCAUCAUUGAAUGCACCUUCCUUAACAAAGGAUAAGCCACUUGUAGAUAUAGCAAUAUUAGGCCAUAAUGUUGUCUCAAAUGUCUGCAACCCAAAAUACUCGUGUUCCCAGUUAGUUUACAACUUAGUUAUACACAAUGGUAAAUUUGUUAUCUAGUGUUGAGAAAACUUCAUUUAUUUUUUUUUUAUUUUAUUCUUUAAC
Long non-coding RNA from Portunus trituberculatus (swimming crab), 719 nucleotides. RefSeq lists it as uncharacterized. Lineage: Eukaryota; Metazoa; Arthropoda; Malacostraca; Decapoda; Portunidae. The transcript is spliced from 2 exons. The record is from RefSeq and is a predicted model, not a curated record.